RNAcentral lists this ribosomal RNA (447 nucleotides) under uncultured Eubacteriales bacterium. RNAcentral describes it as "bacterial SSU rRNA". It matches the Rfam family "Bacterial small subunit ribosomal RNA", at positions 917 to 1370 of the family's 1533-position model. Lineage: Bacteria; Bacillati; Bacillota; Clostridia; Eubacteriales. The record is from RNAcentral.
GGGCCCGCACAAGCAGUGGAGUAUGUGGUUUAAUUCGACGCAACGCGAAGAACCUUACCAGGUCUUGACAUCCCGUGCAUAGCAUAGAGAUAUGUGAAACCCUUCGGGGCACGGUGACAGGUGGUGCAUGGUUGUCGUCAGCUCGUGUCGUGAGAUGUUGGGUUAAGUCCCGCAACGAGCGCAACCCUUAUCGUUAGUUACUACGCAAGAGGACUCUAGCGAGACUGCCGUUGACAAAACGGAGGAAGGUGGGGAUGACGUCAAAUCAGCAUGCCCUUUAUGACCUGGGCUACACACGUACUACAAUGGCCGUCAACAGAGAGAAGCGAAGCCGCGAGGUGGAGCAAAACUCAGAAAAACGGUCUCAGUUCGGAUUGGAGGCUGCAACCCGCCUCCAUGAAGCCGGAAUUGCUAGUAAUCGCGGAUCAGCAUGCCGCGGUGAAUACG